GUGCCCUUAGCUCAGCUGGAUAGAGCACCGGAUUUCUAAUCCGGCGGUCACUGGUUCGAAUCCAGUAGGGCAUG
RNAcentral lists this transfer RNA (74 nucleotides) under Verrucomicrobiales bacterium. Its description in RNAcentral is "tRNA-Arg". It matches the Rfam family "tRNA". From Rfam's summary of the family: Transfer RNA (tRNA) molecules are approximately 80 nucleotides in length. Their secondary structure includes four short double-helical elements and three loops (D, anti-codon, and T loops). Lineage: Bacteria; Pseudomonadati; Verrucomicrobiota; Verrucomicrobiia; Verrucomicrobiales. The record is from RNAcentral.